AAGAAACCAACAGGGAUUGCCCUAGUAACGGCGAGUGAAGCGGCAACAGCUCAAAUUUGAAAUCUGGCCCUCGGGUCCGAGUUGUAAUUUGUAGAGGAUGCUUUUGGUGCGGUGCCUUCCGAGUUCCCUGGAACGGGACGCCAUAGAGGGUGAGAGCCCCGUCUGGUUGGACGCCAAUCCUAUGUAAAGCUCCUUCGACGAGUCGAGUAGUUUGGGAAUGCUGCUCUAAAUGGGAGGUAUAUGUCUUCUAAAGCUAAAUAUUGGCCAGAGACCGAUAGCGCACAAGUAGAGUGAUCGAAAGAUGAAAAGCACUUUGAAAAGAGAGUUAAAAAGCACGUGAAAUUGUUGAAAGGGAAGCGCUUAUGACCAGACUUGGGCUUGGUUGAUCAUCCGGCGUUCUCGCCGGUGCACUCUUCCGGUCCAGGCCAGCAUCAGUUUGCUCCGGGGGAUAAAGGCUUUGGGAAUGUGGCUCCCUCGGGAGUGUUAUAGCCCAUUGUGUAAUACCCUGGAGCGGACUGAGGUACGCGUUCUGCAAGGAUGCUGGCGUAAUGGUCAUCAGUGACCCGUCUUGAAACACGGACCAAGGAGUCGUCUUCGUAUGCGAGUGUUCGGGUGUCAAACCCCUACGCGUAAUGAAAGUGAACGCAGGUGAGAGCUUCGGCGCAUCAUCGACCGAUCCUGAUGUUCUCGGAUGGAUUUGAGUAAGAAGCAUACGGGGCCGGACCCGAAAGAAGGUGAACUAUGCCUGUGUAGGGUGAAGCCAGAGGAAACUCUGGUGGAGGCUCGCAGCGGU
Molecule: ribosomal RNA, 793 nt
Filed under: Stilbella aciculosa
Lineage: Eukaryota; Fungi; Ascomycota; Sordariomycetes; Hypocreales
Description: eukaryotic LSU rRNA
Rfam family: Eukaryotic large subunit ribosomal RNA
Source: RNAcentral